Molecule: non-coding RNA, 672 nt
Organism: Cinara cedri
Lineage: Eukaryota; Metazoa; Arthropoda; Insecta; Hemiptera; Aphididae
Source: the annotation of a GenBank genome assembly
UCUAUUUAGUUGUACUGUCAUCAUGUAAAUGUUUUAAAUUAAUAAAAUUCACCAAUUUUAUCUAAUAGCAGACAAAUUCAUGAAUUCCGUGGCACAAUGAUCAGUGUCCUGCGUAAGAAACUUGCUGUACCGGUUAGUCAAACCCUAAAGUCCACACAAUUUUUACUCUUUUUUUCAAGAAAAUAUUAGUUUUGCACAAUAAAUCCAGGAAUAUUUUCGUUUAAAAUUGUUUAAAACCUUUGUUUUUUCUCCUAUCACCUACCCGAAUUUCGUUUAAAACAGUUAGUGAAAAAAAAGUGAAAACCGAAAGAGCGGCCAUAGUCAUACAAAUAUGGAUCAUCCAAAAAAUCAGUGUCUGACAAACUAUAUUUUUACGGUGUAGCAAUUAAAUGGUGAAAUUCAAAACUACCACUAACUUCAAAGUUUGUAUUUAAAUUUUACUAGGUAGCAGUGGCGUGUACCCAGGGGGAGGUGAUAUGACACCCCUCUUGUACAUGGUCUUCUAAAUGAUCUUGAUAAGUGCAAUUAAGAUCUCUUUUCAAAUGUAUUCAAAUAGCUUCUAAUUAUUACAACACUACUUUUUACAUUGUAUAGAUCAGAAAGAAGCUUUUCCACAUUAAAAAGUAUCCAGACAUAUCUUCGAAAUUCCGUUAACCAAUUUAAUAGAUUAGC